Long non-coding RNA from Oncorhynchus masou masou (cherry salmon), 1148 nucleotides. RefSeq lists it as uncharacterized. The record is from RefSeq and is a predicted model, not a curated record. The transcript has 2 exons. NCBI's taxonomy places the organism in Eukaryota, Metazoa, Chordata, Actinopteri, Salmoniformes, Salmonidae.
CAUAAACAAAAUAAACAUGGAAUACGUUGACUCACACCGAAAGCCAGGACUCCACAGAUCAUGUGGAUGUCUUAUUUGUCUGCCUGUGACCUACCGUUAAUGAUCACCAGCCCAGAGAGUCAAACAUUUUAUUUUACACAACAUUUUCACCAAACAUCUUACAAGAUGGCCAAGCAAAAGGUCAAACCUCUCAGUUGGCCUUCCGAGGGCAGCUGGUGUUAGAAAUGGCUGAAUUGGGGGCCCAAAGCAACCUCAUAACCAUCACAAGACCCCCCCCCCACUCAAAGUGAGCGACACUAUCCAACACACAUGCCAAAAAGAAGAACAGCAAGCAUUGCACAAAACGCGGGGGGAAUGCCAGAUCUUCUGUCCGAAAUGGCAGUUCACUUGUUUCCUGGCAGAGAGGGACUGCUUCAAAGACUAAGCUACGGGGAAAGUGAAAUCCAAUCAUCUAUACCUGGAUUUGUAAAUAGUUAAUCUUAUUUCUAUUUUAGUGAAGGACACGUGUGUAACCAAGUUUGUUUGAUAAGACAUUUGUAUAUAUUUUUGAAUAUAUAUCGGUUGCUUUUAUAAACAGUUCAUUUGUAUGUGGGACCAAUACAUUGGAUAUGCCUAGGCUAAAAGUUCAGGCACUUUGGAGAGGUUGAAAAAACACUUGGAUAUCCCCUGUAUGUCCCCCGACACCACCACAAUGUUAGAGGUUGGUGUUGUCGAAACUUUUACUUUUAGGCACAUCCAGUGUGCAAAAACAGUACAAUUACCACAUUUGGACACUUUUGGAGAGGUUGAAAGGACACUUGAAUGUACCCUGGAUACCCCUUAACACCACCACAAUGUUUGAGUGAGGUUGAUAUGGUAGAAAUUGUGUUUUUAUACUGAACAAAUAGCAUUUAGGGAUUGGAAAUAUGUAAUAGCACUGGAAUUAUCUAAUUUACAGACAUGCCACUCUGGAGAGGUUUAGGGACACUUGGAAACGUCCUAUGACCACACCUGACACCACUUACUAAAACUUCUGCCCAUUUCUAGUUGUUAGGUCUAUCAAUCCCAUUGUUCACAUGUUGUGGAAGCCAUCUGAUACGUUUCCAGCUCUGGGCAUCAAUAAUUCACUUAUAGCUUGUCAAUUAAAGAUUACUUUCAAAAUAAAAAAA